UCUCUCUUUCUUUCUUUCUUUUUUGAGAUGGAGUUUUGCUCUUGUUGCCCAGGCUGGAGUGCUGUGGUGUGAUCUUAGCUCACCACAACCUCCGCCUCCUGGGUUCAAGUGAUUCUCCUGCCUCAGCCUCCCGAGUAGCUGGGAUUACAGGCAUGCGCCGCCAUGCCCGACUAAUUUUUGUAGUUUUAGUAGAGACGAGGUUUCACCAUGUUGGCCAGGCUGGUCUCGUACUCCUGACCUCAAGUGAUCCGCCUGCCUCGGCCUCCCAAAGUGCUGGGAUUACAGGCAUGAGCCACUGGGCCCGGCCUCUAUUAUUUCUUUAAAUAUUUCUUUUGUCCUUUCCUUCUUCUCCUCUCCUUCAGAUACUCCCAUUUGUUUUAAAGUUAUUUUGAAAACUGUAUUUGAAUAUAAUUGGUUUCCUUUGUAUUCCUUUAUAUUUUUAAUGCAUUUAAAAACAUUAUUCUAAGAAGAUGUCCAUAGGUAUCACUAGGCUGCUAGAAGAGUCUUUGGCACAAAAAUGUUAAUAGAAUAUCCUUAUUCUAGAUAGUGUUAUAGAUGAAUGUUUUCCAAACUGGUUUUUCAAAGAAAGCUAUUUCUUAGGAUAUUGAUAGUUGCUGCAAUAGAGGUAGUCUUUGCUCAGAUAAGCUUGGGAACACUGAAUGAAACUGAGUGAACACUGAGAAAAGCAUCUGAUAUCUUUUUCUGCCCGAUUUCUCCAAGUCUUUUAUUCGCUAAAAUGCUUUGUGUAUAUCUAAGAGGAGAUAUAAUGUGCAACAUUUUCUAAUUCAGUGUAGCACACAGUACACACUUUUUUCAAUUUGUUAUUUUAAAAAAACCCCUCUAAUAAUAUCUAGUUCAAUGAAUUAUGCAAAUGAAAUGCUCCAAAACACAAAUCCCCUAAAAAAGGGCCAUAAAUGCUUUUAUAUUAUUAUAAUAAGUGUUUCUCAAACUAAGAAUAACAGACUAAUGAACCCAUUUAAAAGGAGAAAAAUCUCACAAACUCCUCGGUACUUAAUGUGUAACUUAAAUGAGUUUUAGUUUAACAUUAUUUAAGUAUGUAGAAAUGUAAAACUAGAUAUAGCCUUUAAACAAUAAAACCAAAACAAAUUUAUGAAUUAAAUACGAUGCUACA
This 1132-nucleotide long non-coding RNA is filed under the name Homo sapiens (human). RNAcentral describes it as "HSALNT0152799". Lineage: Eukaryota; Metazoa; Chordata; Mammalia; Primates; Hominidae. The record is from RNAcentral.